Molecule: ribosomal RNA, 500 nt
Filed under: uncultured soil bacterium
Lineage: Bacteria
Description: bacterial SSU rRNA
Rfam family: Bacterial small subunit ribosomal RNA
Source: RNAcentral
AGGACGAACGCUGGCGGCGUGCUUAACACAUGCAAGUCGAGCGGAAAGGCCUUUCGGGGUACUCGAGCGGCGAACGGGUGAGUAACACGUGAGUAAUCUGCCCAUCGCUUCAGGAUAGCCAUCGGAAACGGUGAUUAAUACUGGAUAUGACAUUCCUUCGCAUGUUGGGGUGUGGAAAGUUUUUUCGGCGGUGGAUGUGCUCGCGGCCUAUCAGCUUGUUGGUGGGGUAAUGGCCUACCAAGGCUUUGACGGGUAGCCGGCCUGAGAGGGUGACCGGCCACGACUGGGACUGAGACACGGCCCAGACUCCUACGGGAGGCAGCAGUGGGAAUAUUGGACAAUGGGCGGAAGCCUGAUCCAGCAACGCCGCGUGAGGAUGACGGCCUUCGGGUUGUAACCUCUUUCAGCACAGACGAAGUUUUUAGUCGUUUUUGGUGGUAAGUGUACGGUAUUGUGCGUAAGAAGAAGGACCGGACAACGUACGUAGCCAAGCAGCCGAC